RNAcentral lists this ribosomal RNA (315 nucleotides) under Crustacea environmental sample. RNAcentral describes it as "SSU rRNA". It matches the Rfam family "Eukaryotic small subunit ribosomal RNA", at positions 1140 to 1476 of the family's 1831-position model. The record is from RNAcentral. Lineage: Eukaryota; Metazoa; Arthropoda.
AAACUUAAAGGAAUUGACGGAAGGGCACCACCAGGAGUGGAGCCUGUGGCUUAAUUUGACUCAACACGGGAAACCUCACCCGGCCCGGACACCGCGAGGAUUGACAGACUGAGAGCUCUUUCUUAAUGAAGUGGAUGGUGGUGCAUGGCCGUUCUUAGUUGGUGGAGCGAUCUGUCUGGUUAAUUCCGAUAACGAACGAGACUCUGUCCUGCUAAAUAGUGUCUGCUUCUCUUUUGAGCAGACAAUUCUUCUUAGAGGGACUGGCGACUCUUAGUCGCACGAGAUUGAGCAAUAACAGGUCUGUGAUGCCCUUAG